UACGGAGGAUGCAAGCGUUAUCCGGAAUGAUUGGGCGUAAAGCGUCCGCAGGUGGCAAUGUAAGUCUGCUGUCAAAGCGUCUGGCUCAACCAGAUAAAGGCAGUGGAAACUACAUAGCUAGAGUAAGGUAGGGGUAGAGGGAAUUCCUGGUGUAGCGGUGAAAUGCGUAGAGAUCAGGAGGAAUACCUGUGGUGUAGACGGCUCUCUGGACCGCGACUGACGCUGAGACACGAAAGCGUGGGUAGCAAACAGG
Molecule: ribosomal RNA, 253 nt
Filed under: uncultured bacterium
Lineage: Bacteria
Description: partial 16S ribosomal RNA
Rfam family: Bacterial small subunit ribosomal RNA
Source: RNAcentral